CCCAAGUACUCUCGUACUACUCCCAAGGCCACACGCAGCUUCAGGACAGCUUUGCGGGUCACAAGGAAUCUACUCCUAACUCCCAUUGUAGCUACCAUGUAGCCCAUCUGCUGAGCACCUACUAUGAGCCCUUGAACUUUACUGAGUGUUCAUCCGAAUGACAGUUUUGAAGACAACUGGCCCGGGACAGGUCAUUUUACGACUCUCCUACAUCAGGAGCGUCUCUCAGCCUCAGCCCUCCGCACCUGUUCACACAAGCGUCUCCCUGGGCAAAGCAAACACCUAUUUUGGAGUGAGCACUCCUUCCCUGUGGCCCCGGCCAAUUCCCACACUAUUCUCAAGCCACCAUCUUUCAGAAUGUGACCCUUCGGAUCAGACCCACCCCUGCCCCAGGACAGAGAAGAUAAGCAUCACGGAGCAGACCGAUUGACCUGCCCUAGGCAGUAGCCCCCAGAUGCUGCCCUGUGUGCUUACGGGACUGCAGGAGUACCGCCAGGGAGAUGGAGUAAUCAACUCUCUCUCCCAUGAGGCAACUGCACAGUGGUCGUGUCUAGAAAAGAAAAAAUGUCAUUACUGCCCAUGGGAGAGUGUAAUGACCCAAAUUAUGGCCUGUCAGAUGAGGCAACGCUUAGCCCAGGGAGUACGCCGCAGCACACAGGGCUCACAGAGCAGGUGAGGGAAGAAAUGUGCCUCUGGGUAGCCUAUGGGAGGUGGGAGCCUGGGCCCCGCAGGCCAGGUGCAGACAUCUGUUUCCCCAUCCCGUAACUGUGAAAGCCCUUCGGCUCCUCCCUGGGAGACUACAAGGAUGGAGCACAGCUGGGGUGGGAAAAGACAUGGGAUGGAAUAUACAGCAGCCACCUUUUAGGCAAGGUCAUGUGGCUACUAAACCUCCUGUGGACCAGAAUGAUUAAAGGACAUUACUUCCUU
Peromyscus maniculatus bairdii (prairie deer mouse) is the source of this 927-nucleotide non-coding RNA. The record is from RefSeq and is a predicted model, not a curated record. NCBI's taxonomy places the organism in Eukaryota, Metazoa, Chordata, Mammalia, Rodentia, Cricetidae.